RNAcentral lists this ribosomal RNA (253 nucleotides) under uncultured bacterium. RNAcentral's name for it is "partial 16S ribosomal RNA". It matches the Rfam family "Bacterial small subunit ribosomal RNA", at positions 524 to 776 of the family's 1533-position model. The record is from RNAcentral.
GACGUAGGGCGCGAGCGUUGUCCGGAAUUAUUGGGCGUAAAGAGCUCGUAGGCGGCUUGUCACGUCGAUUGUGAAAGCCCGAGGCUUAACCUCGGGUCUGCAGUCGAUACGGGCUAGCUAGAGUGUGGUAGGGGAGAUCGGAAUUCCUGGUGUAGCGGUGAAAUGCGCAGAUAUCAGGAGGAACACCGGUGGCGAAGGCGGUUCUCUGGGCAUGUCCUGACGCUGAGGAGCGAAAGUGUGGGGAGCGAACAGG